UACGGAGGAUCCAAGCGUUAUCCGGAUUCACUGGGUUUAAAGCGCACGUAGGCGGCUUUGUAAGUUAGAGGUGAAAGCCCGGGGCUCAACUCCGGAAUUGCCUUUAAGACUGCAUCGCUAGAAUUGUGGAGAGGUAAGUGGAAUUCCGAGUGUAGAGGUGAAAUUCGUAGAUAUUCGGAAGAACACCAGUGGCGAAGGCGACUUACUGGACACAUAUUGACGCUGAGGUGGGAAAGCGUGGGGAGCAAACAGG
Molecule: ribosomal RNA, 253 nt
Filed under: uncultured bacterium
Lineage: Bacteria
Description: partial 16S ribosomal RNA
Rfam family: Bacterial small subunit ribosomal RNA
Source: RNAcentral